This is a long non-coding RNA of Pan troglodytes (chimpanzee), 936 nucleotides long. RefSeq lists it as uncharacterized. The record is from RefSeq and is a predicted model, not a curated record. NCBI's taxonomy places the organism in Eukaryota, Metazoa, Chordata, Mammalia, Primates, Hominidae. The transcript is spliced from 3 exons.
AUUCAAGGUUGGUCUGGCCCCAAGAACUGUACAGCAGCAGCAGCAGUUCAGCUGGCAGAGGUGCUGUUGCUGAGCUGGGAGUGGAAAGCACAUUUUCUCUUCAUGAUACAUGGUGUACCUGCAUGUGGGAAGCUCCUGGCCCAGAAGGAGUCUCACCAUGGCUUCAUGAUGGCCUCACCAUGGAACCCAAGAACACAGCUGCCACAGGACUGCUCCUACCCUCCCAAGAGCCACUCUUAAACAGCUGCCAAAUGGCAGCCAGCCACCUGGGGUGAAGAGGUGGGCAGUAAAUGGAUGUGGUCCUGGUGAAGUCUUCUAACAAGAUUUCUAACAGUCUUACUCUGUCACCCAGGCUGGAGUGCAGUGCUACAAUCUCGGCUCAUUGCAAACUCUGCCUCCCAGGUUCAAGCGAUUCUCAUGCCUCAGCCUCCCGAGAAGCUGGGAUUACAGGCAUGCGCCACCAUGCCCAGCUAAUGUUUUGCAUUUUUAGUAGAGACGGGGUUUCAUCAUGUUGGCCAGGCUGGUCUCAAACUGCUGACUUCAAGUGAUCUGCCCGACUUGGCCUCCCAAAGUGCUGAGAUUACGGAUGUGAGCCACUGCGCCUGGCCUGCAAGACUCUUUUUUUUUGUGUGUGUGUAUUUCAGUGCUGUGUACUGAAACAGGAAGGAUCUCCAUUAAUGCUGGUAGUACUAGAAGGUAACAUGCAAUGCCAUCUACCCUUCUAUUGACUCUUCAGUACUAUCAAGGAAGAAAAGGAAAAUAACCAGUAGCCUGGAAGAAGCUUUAAGCUCGUUAGAUAAAGUGUGCUGUCCGGAUUUUCCCCAGACCUUCUCUGUCCAUGAUAAACAGAGGGAGAGCUGGGAUAGGUUUUUGAACAAUUGCAUUGCAGCCAUGUUGAUGUGGGUGGUGUAAUGAAAGUUGGAAAAAUCAGAGUGA